Molecule: long non-coding RNA, 504 nt
Organism: Gallus gallus (chicken)
Lineage: Eukaryota; Metazoa; Chordata; Aves; Galliformes; Phasianidae
Source: Ensembl
GUAAGUAUUCUGCUUAGCCAUGGCCGCGCCCUGGCGGAAGGCUGCUGCCAGAAAUAAUGAGGUGACCCAGACAGAGGUCCCAUGCUCUCACAAAAGGAAAGCAGCAGCCAAGAAGACUGUGGAAACCCAGACUGAGGCCCCGCGCACAUAUGAAAGGAAGGCUGCUGCCAAGAAAAAUGAGGAUACUCAGACUGAGGUGCUGUGUGAUGACACUCAAGAUGAUAUACUCAGAGACAUCAAGGUCAGAUUGACAGGUCUAUAAUUCUCUGAAUCCUACUCUCUCCCCUUCUUGUACGUAGAAAGUACUCAUUUUGAAGGAAAGCAGAUUUUCCCAUUUGGCAUAAAAAGUAGAGAAAAUGAAGACUUCGACUUCCUAUGUUAAAACCAUUACACUGUAUAUUUUUUGAAGAUAAGGUGGUCAUAGUCCGUUUGGCAGAAGUAACUGUCCGGUAGUACUUUUCCUGGUACUGUAAAAAAAUAUGGAAUAGUAUAAAAGUAAGUAUC